GCAGCAGUAGGGAAUCUUCCGCAAUGGACGAAAGUCUGACGGAGCAACGCCGCGUGAGUGAUGAAGGCUUUCGGGUCGUAAAACUCUGUUGUUAGGGAAGAACAAGUGCUAGUUGAAUAAGCUGGCACCUUGACGGUACCUAACCAGAAAGCCACGGCUAACUACGUGCCAGCAGCCGCGGUAAUACGUAGGUGGCAAGCGUUAUCCGGAAUUAUUGGGCGUAAAGCGCGCGCAGGUGGUUUCUUAAGUCUGAUGUGAAAGCCCACGGCUCAACCGUGGAGGGUCAUUGGAAACUGGGAGACUUGAGUGCAGAAGAGGAAAGUGGAAUUCCAUGUGUAGCGGUGAAAUGCGUAGAGAUAUGGAGGAACACCAGUGGCGAAGGCGACUUUCUGGUCUGUAACUGACACUGAGGCGCGAAAGCGUGGGGAGCAAACAGGAUUAGAUACCCUGGUAGUCCACGCCGUAAACGAUGAGUGCUAAGUGUUAGAGGGUUUCCGCCCUUUAGUGCUGAAGUUAACGCAUUAAGCACUCCGCCUGGGGAGUACGGCCGCAAGGCUGAAACUCAAAGGAAUUGACGGGGGCCCGCACAAAGCGGUGGAGCAUGGUGGUUUUAAUUUCGAA
RNAcentral lists this ribosomal RNA (621 nucleotides) under Bacillus sp. (in: firmicutes). RNAcentral describes it as "bacterial SSU rRNA". It matches the Rfam family "Bacterial small subunit ribosomal RNA", at positions 348 to 955 of the family's 1533-position model. Lineage: Bacteria; Bacillati; Bacillota; Bacilli; Caryophanales; Bacillaceae. The record is from RNAcentral.